RNAcentral lists this unclassified non-coding RNA (473 nucleotides) under uncultured Pelagibacterales bacterium. Its description in RNAcentral is "partial 16S-23S ribosomal RNA intergenic spacer". The stretch from base 165 to 239 matches the Rfam family "tRNA". Lineage: Bacteria; Pseudomonadati; Pseudomonadota; Alphaproteobacteria; Candidatus Pelagibacterales. The record is from RNAcentral.
CCUCCUUUCUAAGGACGCCGGAGAUGCUUUAUGCUUAUCUCCGGAUAGUCAAAGUCGAAACAGACUCUCUUCUCUUCUCUCCCUUUUCUCCUGUAAAUGCUAAGUUAUGAAUUUAGAGCAACGAAGGAAUUAAAUUCGUUACUGUGGACUCCUAAUUACAAGAGGGGCCUGUAGCUCAGCUUGGUUAGAGCGCAUCCCUGAUAAGGAUGAGGCCGGUGGUUCAAGUCCACCCAGGCCCACCAGUUUCAGUGGGGGAUUAGCUCAGCUGGUAGAGCGCCUGCUUUGCAAGCAGGAGGUCAGCGGUUCGACCCCGCUAUCCUCCACCAAAUUAAUGAACAGUAAAAAAAGGUGGUGCAGCUUAAGCAGAAGAUAAGCUUCAGCAAUUAUUUAAUAAUUUCUGAAUUUUAUUUUUUAAUAUCUUAGACAAUUGAAUCGGAGGUUUUGGAGACACAAGAUCAAAUGUGAGGGUCUCC